ACGUCCAUACCAUGAUGAAAACACCGGUUCUCGUCCGAUCACCGAAUUUAAGCAUCAUCGGGCGCGGUUAGUACUGGGAGGGUGACC
This is a non-coding RNA of Trichonephila clavipes, 87 nucleotides long. NCBI's taxonomy places the organism in Eukaryota, Metazoa, Arthropoda, Arachnida, Araneae, Nephilidae. The record is from the annotation of a GenBank genome assembly.